This 71-nucleotide transfer RNA is filed under the name Cordylochernes scorpioides. RNAcentral's name for it is "tRNA-Gly". Lineage: Eukaryota; Metazoa; Arthropoda; Arachnida; Pseudoscorpiones; Chernetidae. The record is from RNAcentral.
UGCAUCGGCCGGGAAUCGAACCCCGGCCGCCCGCGUGGCAGACGAGCAUUCUACCACUGAACCACCGAUGG